UCCGAUAUGGUCUAGUGGCUAACAUUAUCGCCUUUCAUAUGGCAGCUUACUUAACAGCACGUUCAGAUCGCGAUAGCCCGUGGUUUAAUUCCCCGUGCCGGAA
Sphaerobolus stellatus SS14 is the source of this 103-nucleotide non-coding RNA. The record is from the annotation of a GenBank genome assembly. NCBI's taxonomy places the organism in Eukaryota, Fungi, Basidiomycota, Agaricomycetes, Geastrales, Sphaerobolaceae.